AUUUAGCCCCAAAACGCCCACACAGGUUGCGCACCCCAGGACCGGGCCUGGUCGACAAUUAAUGUUGAUCAGUGCCACUGUGAAUCUAGGUACGGUAGUUCACAUCAUAUAUUUUGGAUCGCAGACCACCGGAACCGGGUCGCACGACAACGGGCGGCCAGAUCGGGAAUGUACCAUCUUGAAGUACACAUCGUGCCUGUUAGCAAUCGAUGAGGGACUUUUCGGUGCUAGCUUUGUACGUGCAUGCAUGAGCCAUCCAUCUUGCUUCGUCUCGGUCGUUUCCUGUUGCCAGAAGCAAAUCCGCAUGUGGUAUUGGGCAACAUGCGCUAGCUAGGGUUGAGAUUGCCAAGGGUUGGGUUCGACAUAUUUCUGCGGUUUCGCCAUAAGCAAGUCAUCUCCUUCCGUACCAACUUGGCUCCUGACCUCCUGUGCAAGUUACUCGCCUCUAGCUAUGCACGUCAAGUAUGGACCGGAGCACGAGGUCAAGCUAGCAAUACGACCACGACUUGAUCCAUCUUCUGCAAGUCAACUGUAGAUCGUGGUAUAGAAGUCAGAGUACUUAUGAUAAUAAGUAUCCUCACCCUCUCAACAUGCAAUUAAUGCAUGUAAGUCAAUAAGCCAAUAAUACUACAUGGUUCUUAAUCAACUAGCCUAUGAAAGGCGCCUCCCGCCGCCCCUCGUCUGAUCUAUAAUCUAUUAAUCCAAAGGGUUACUACCUCCUCUCAUCUCAUGGUUGCACACACUCUCAAGGUCUUCGUCCCCGUAGUUCUCUUUGCCCUCUGCGUCGUCGUGUUAGCCCCUGCCAUAGCGGAAGCGGGAUACAUCUACCACUACUGUUGGUGCGAGCCCUACGUGGCUCCGAAAGGAGCGCUGUCCAGCGCACUGUGCAGGCGCCCGACGUCCUGCGAGACCAACUGCCGCCAGAAGUUGUUAAAAAAGAACUGCGGCCAGUAGGAGGAGGCUUGCUUCUCCGGCUGCAUCGAGUCUGCCGAAGUUUGCGAGGACAGAUGUAGCGUCGCGAUGACUGAAGGUCUCGCUGGUUCGCUAGCCAAGAAUCCUACCUGAGUUCUAGCAAGAUUGAUUUUUCUACCAUGCAGUCAAACACUUGAUGUAACGUUACAUUCACCGCAUCCGCAUGUCGUUACUUUGAUACUAGUGCCAAGUUUUCUAAUCUUUGCCCAUGUUUGGCUUUUUUCACAGUAUUACAUGAUGAUUGGUUAAGUUCUGUUUUAUAAUCCAAAAGUUACAGAAUAGUUUGUUGUGUACUACGUGAUGAUUACAUUAUUAUUUUUUAUGUUCCAGAGUAUUACAUGAUGAUUUGUUAACUACUCCGAAGCAAGUCACUAGUGGGG
Molecule: long non-coding RNA, 1352 nt
Filed under: Hordeum vulgare
Lineage: Eukaryota; Viridiplantae; Streptophyta; Magnoliopsida; Poales; Poaceae
Description: long non-coding RNA (HVUL_LNC016348)
Source: RNAcentral